Molecule: long non-coding RNA, 1249 nt
Organism: Sycon ciliatum
Lineage: Eukaryota; Metazoa; Porifera; Calcarea; Leucosolenida; Sycettidae
Exons: 2
Source: RefSeq, a predicted model, not a curated record
GGGGUCAAGUCAUGGGUGUUGCAAGGAAGCUGUCACAAGAUGAUCCGGUAUUGAACGGCUACAGCACAACCAAGAGAACGAAAUGUACGUCGCAAUCAAGCUAUGUCGUUGCCAUCUUCUAUGUGCCAUGCGUUACCUGAUGUGCCAGCCUGCUAUGUCGGAUACCGCUAACCAUGCAUCGACUAGGCGCCAGGCGCGAACUGAUGGUGGUGGUGGUGGUGGUGGUGGUGAGAAGGAGAGCUCUGUGCCAGAAUAACUUUGCAGUUUAGAGAGCGUGUCUGGGCAGGCGUGUAUUUACCCCCAUAUUGCCAGGUGUGUAUUUACCACCAUAUGAACCAACCAUAAGUGCAGUUGCAGUGGAGUCUUCAACUUCAUUCUCCCGAGUCAAGCUCGUUGUGAAGGCAUCUAUGAAGAAGAUUGCCUGAUGAGUCCAGCCGGGACGAAAGGUACGUCGCAAUCAAGCUAUGUUGUUGCUGUGUCAUCUGCUAUGCGCCAUACGCUACCUGAUGUACCAGCCUGCUAUGUCGGACACCACUCACCCUGCAUCGACUAGGCGCCAGACGCGAACUGAUGAUGGUGGUGGUGGCGGGAAGGAGAGCUCUGUGCCAGAAUAACUUUUCAGUUUAGAGAGCGUGUGUAGGCAGGUGUGUAUUUACCGCCGUAUGAAUCAACCACAGUACGAUCAGCUGACGUUAUAACUUAUAAGGAUGAUCUCGUGCAGCGAUAUUAUUGAUAUUUUUUAAGUCUUUUCUAAGGACUCUCCACUGCAGCGUUUUCUUUCCACUCGGUUCUCUUCUUUUCAUCGCUCAGCUUGCACUUGCAAUGCUUAUACAUACUGAUCAAUCCCGUUCAAUUUUCCGUACAUUUUUCUCAAAAGCCAUAACGCGGACGAAGUAGUGAUUUUCCGUACAAAUAUGGAAAAUACGGAAGGUUGAUAGCACUGUGUUGAGGCAGCUAUUGUUGACUUUAUUUGGAAUUAAUUCUGUUGUAUUUGCACACAUUCCUGAGUGCAUUGUAUUACUAUUAGCAUCCAAUGUGUGUUAUCUGUGCGAGCUUCUAACCUUGUGAACAUUCACCGAAGGUUCGGUUGGUGGCGCACAAGAUCUUCCGGGAUGGCUCUUGCGGGCUCUCAGCCCUGCGUUCACUGCAUAAAACUUGGCAGAACAGUUCAAGUUUCAAUUUAGGCCAUUUCCUCACUCUGUGACUCCCAAUAUUUCACAUGUGCAAUGAUUAUAAGUAUUGUAGAUCA